CUCAGGAUGAACGCUGGCGGCGUGCCUAAUACAUGCAAGUCGAGCGAACAGAUGAGAAGCUUGCUUCUCUGAUGUUAGCGGCGGACGGGUGAGUAACACGUGGGUAACCUACCUAUAAGACUGGGAUAACUCCGGGAAACCGGGGCUAAUACCGGAUAAUAUAUUGAACCGCAUGGUUCAAUGUUGAAAGACGGUUUCGGCUGUCACUUAUAGAUGGACCCGCGCCGUAUUAGCUAGUUGGUAAGGUAACGGCUUACCAAGGCAACGAUACGUAGCCGACCUGAGAGGGUGAUCGGCCACACUGGAACUGAGACACGGUCCAGACUCCUACGGGAGGCAGCAGUAGGGAAUCUUCCGCAAUGGGCGAAAGCCUGACGGAGCAACGCCGCGUGAGUGAUGAAGGUCUUAGGAUCGUAAAACUCUGUUGUUAGGGAAGAACAAAUUUGUUAGUAACUGAACAAGUCUUGACGGUACCUAACCAGAA
Molecule: ribosomal RNA, 484 nt
Filed under: Mammaliicoccus lentus
Lineage: Bacteria; Bacillati; Bacillota; Bacilli; Caryophanales; Staphylococcaceae
Description: bacterial SSU rRNA
Rfam family: Bacterial small subunit ribosomal RNA
Source: RNAcentral